This 459-nucleotide ribosomal RNA is filed under the name uncultured bacterium. RNAcentral's name for it is "partial 16S ribosomal RNA". It matches the Rfam family "Bacterial small subunit ribosomal RNA", at positions 338 to 795 of the family's 1533-position model. The record is from RNAcentral.
CCUACGGGUGGCAGCAGUGAGGAAUAUUGGUCAAUGGGCGGGAGCCUGAACCAGCCAAGCCGCGUGAAGGAAGAAGGCGCCAAGCGUCGUAAACUUCUUUUGUCGGGGAACAAAGUGCGCCACGUGUGGCGUUGUGAGUGUACCCGAAGAAAAAGCAUCGGCUAACUCCGUGCCAGCAGCCGCGGUAAUACUGAGGAUGCGAGCGUAAUCCGGAUUUAUUUGGUUUAAAGGGGGCGUAGACGGUCCGGACAGUCAGCGGUAAAAUCCCGGGGAUCAACCCCGGCGAGCAGUUGAAACUGGCGAACUAGAGAGGGCGAGAAGUACGCGGAAUGCGCGGUGUAGCGGUGAAAUGCAUAGAUAUCGCGAAGAACUCCGAUUGCGAAGGCAGCGUACCGGCGCCGGACUGACGCUGAGGCACGAAAGCGUGGGUAUCGAACAGGAUUAGAUACCCCUGUAGUC